CGUUGGAUCCGUGUUAAUUGCAACACUAAGCAGACUGUUUACAAACACUUGGGCCACCAACAAGCAUCGGGCCCGAAAUUCUGGGGGCUCCAUCUCACCUUUAACCCCAGCAUCCUCCACCCAUCUUAUUCUGUGACAGAUAUGAUAUGCCUCUGCAUAUCAUCCUUCACAACAUCCAUGAAUCUUCUCUGAGAUAGCUCUUCACAGAGAAGCAGGUCUGAAGAAGAGUUUCAUGAAAUGGCGCCAUCUAGUGGAAAUAUGUAGUCCUACACCCGGCUUCGUCUAAUGAACUUGAACGCUCAUGGGUUUAGAAAAGUCGUAUAUAUAUAUGUUGUUGACGUAUAUAUUUUUAAUAUACUUACAAUACAACAGUUCAUAUAUUAUAAGUCUGCACGAUAUGCCUAGAUUAAUAGGUGAUAAUUCACUAUAUCUAAAGCUAUAGAAAUGAUCAACUUUAAUAUUAUAUAAUAUAAUAUAAAAUAAUAUAAUAU
Molecule: long non-coding RNA, 491 nt
Organism: Oreochromis niloticus (Nile tilapia)
Lineage: Eukaryota; Metazoa; Chordata; Actinopteri; Cichliformes; Cichlidae
Exons: 3
Source: RefSeq, a predicted model, not a curated record